Molecule: long non-coding RNA, 819 nt
Filed under: Marmota monax (woodchuck)
Lineage: Eukaryota; Metazoa; Chordata; Mammalia; Rodentia; Sciuridae
Source: RNAcentral
CAUAAAAAGCCUAUCAUCAACAACAACAACAAGACCAGGACGAGAAAGACUCACAGCUGAGUUCUAUAAGACCUUCAUAGAAGAGCUAAUAUCAAUACUCCUCAAAUUAUUCAAUGAAAUACAAAAAUAGGAAACCCUUCCAAACUUAUUCUAUGAGGCCAGUAUCACCCUGAUUCCAAAACCAGACAAAGACACAUCAAGAAAACAAAACUUCAGGCCAAUAUCUCUAAUGAACAUAGAUGCAAAAAUUCUCAAUGAAAUUCUGGCAAAUCAAAUACAAAACCAUAUUAAAAAGACAGUGCCCCACAGUCGAGUGAGAUUCAUCCCAAGGAUGCAAGGUUGGUUCAACAUACGGAAAUCAAUAGAUGUACUUCAGCACAUCAAUAAACUUAAAGGUAAGGAUCAUAUGAUUAUUUUAAUAGAUGCAGGAAAACUAUUAGACAAAAUACUGAACCCUUUCAUGUUCAAAACACUAUAAAAACCAGAGAUAAUAGGAAACUAUCUCAAAAAAAGGGCAUGGUGUUAGUACCAACAUGAUUUGUAGACCAAUGGUACAGAAUAGAGGACACAGAGUAAAACCCACAUAUAUACAAGUAUCUCAUACCAGACAAAGGUGCCAAAAACAUACAUUGGAGAAAAGAGCUUUUUCAACAAAUUGUGCUUGGAAAACUGAAAAUCUAUAUGCAGCAAAAUGAAACUAAACCCCUAUCUCUGACCAUGCACAAAACUCAACUCAGAGUGGAUCAAGGACCUAGGAAUUAGACCAGAAACCCUGUGUCUAAUAGAAAGAAAAGCAGGCCCAAAUCUUCAUCAUGUCAG